Molecule: non-coding RNA, 211 nt
Filed under: Domibacillus enclensis
Lineage: Bacteria; Bacillati; Bacillota; Bacilli; Caryophanales; Bacillaceae
Description: T-box sequence
Rfam family: T-box leader
About the family: Uncharged tRNA acts as the effector for transcription antitermination of genes in the T-box leader family. T-boxes are found upstream of many aminoacyl-tRNA synthetase genes and some amino acid biosynthetic genes usually in Gram-positive bacteria.
Source: RNAcentral
UAGAGCGAAGAUGAUGGGAUCAGUAAACGGAUCACUGCCGCAUAAGAGAGGGAGCUCCAGGCUGAAAAGCUCCUGCGGAUACAAACGUUGAACCUGCCCUGUGAUACAUUGCUUAUGAAAACAUAAGCCGGUUUUCUCCGUUAUGGAUCUUAAGUGGGCGCAUUUUCGCGUCAAAAAAGGUGGUACCACGGAAAGCAUACCCGUCCUUUAU